Molecule: long non-coding RNA, 4924 nt
Organism: Homarus americanus (American lobster)
Lineage: Eukaryota; Metazoa; Arthropoda; Malacostraca; Decapoda; Nephropidae
Exons: 3
Source: RefSeq, a predicted model, not a curated record
AUCAAGUAUUUUAUUUUGAGCACUGCUAUGAGUACUGUGUGAAUUGAAACCUUGUAGUGUUGUCUUUAGAGAUACUUAAUCUGCUGAGUGAGUCACCCAUACUAUUACUGGCUUUAAAUUUUUUUUUUGGUGAGUAUCCAUUUAAAAAGUAUCCGAGGCAUUUAUGUGUUAACGUUUACCUCCUUUGCUCUGGAAGGGUGUUAAUUGAAUUUAUCUUUGGUGGGGUUGUUUUGUAGAAGAUUUGUUGUGACAUCAGCGCACGAUGAUCACAGUAGUUGUGAAUAAGUUACAACUUAUGUGUGAGUUCCGACAAUAUCUUUGUCAGACAUGUCCGUGAACCCCAACAAUAUCUUGAACUUUUCAUUCACCUCGCCCAAGGUCUUGAACCUCUCAUUAAGAGAGGAAAUCACAGUAUCCACUACCACAUUGAAAAAUGUAGUCUCCAUCCUCUUGAGUACAUCGCUGACAGGUUCGUCUGCACACUCAUAGCUAAAGUGACAUUUUUUAGUUCUUAGUCUUCUGUUUCAGCACCGUGUCUACGCUCAUCGCUUCACAGAUUUCUUUAGCAAUAGUUAGUGCAUCAGCAAAACCUGUAUUUCUGUAGCUGACAAUAUCAUCUCUGGUCUUUUUGAGCAGAUCUACAGCCACGCCGAGCUGUAUCGUAGUCGACUGCAUUAGUUUGCUCACGUGCUGAAUUUUGCUGAGUAUAUCAUACCACACAACUGAACAAAUGACAAAACGGUAUGACCCUACUUCCUCUGCCAACGAUUAAGCCUCAACUUUGACGACAGGGUCAGUUGCAGAUUCUCUGUGCUCCAAAAGCGCUUCUUUGAGUUGCGGAGGUUGAUAUCUAAUUGCCUCCACACUUUUUACUCGGCUUUCCCAUCUGACGUCUGACCACGAUUUCAGAGUAAUAUUAACAUGUUUUAAAAGAACUUGCCACCUCUGAGGAGAGGCUGAAAACAAUGUGAAUACUUUCGUUAAAUAUCCAAAGUAACAAGUUGCAUUUAGGGAGCUCUUGGCAGCGUCACCUAAUAUAAAAUUCAAAUUAUGGGCACCACAAGGGACAAAUAAGGGCCGAGAAUUCUGUUGAAGAAGCCUGGCUUGAACUCCUUUGAUGUUUCCUCUCAUAUUUGCUUCAUUGUCGUAGGAUUGACCUCGAUAAUCCUCAAAAGAAAUGUUCAUUUGUUUGUCUUCCGAGUAGAAUUCAUGACAAAUUUAGCCCUGUAGACUUCUCUACCUCAAGGAACCCCAAGGUAGUGUGACUGUGAUUGCCUGCAUUACUUUCAACCCUACUUAAAGUUCCACUUCUUGGAGAAAAUUACCAUUGGAUUGACAGUUAAGUUUUUCGGCUGACCCUCUAGAGCCAAAUUGCUUUCAGCUAGAGACUGAAUAAUCGCCAUUAGUCUAGUGAGGACUUGGCGCCACCCGUUCCACUCAGCCAUUAACAUUUCCAUUUCCCGUCUGUCUAUCGUCCUUCCACUUGCAAUGUUGACCUCCAGUUCCUUCUAUGUUGUCAUGUUUUUUUUAGUGUGUUCUAUGUUACUUUCAUGUGUGCUGAGCAAAUGACUAGUUCUCAGUUGGAGUCAAUUUGUUACCAUUGAAUUUAUUGAGAUAACACAAGUUUGGUGUUAAAUUUUUCAUUGUUGUAUUUUUCAACCUGUUUUUAUUUAACGGAGAAUUUUAUUACAUAGCGCCUUACCAUUUCUUACAGUGUAGACUGAUAUGCAUUGUUGGUAAAGAGGUUAUAUGUAUUUGAGAACUAAUUCCGGUGUAUUUUCAGCCAUAGUAUUGAGUGGGUUGAGGACUCUGUGGUGAAAUGGACAUCUAAGACAUACAAUCUCUGAAAAUGAAUUGCUGGAAGCACCCUCUGUACAUGUAAGGACCACCAAUUGUGAGUAAAGCACAGAGUAAAUUGUGUAGUGUUAACACAGUGUCAAGAUAAUUGAAAAAGACAGUGAAUUCUUGUGAGUACAGAAAAUCCGCUUUGUGUUAAUCAUCCGUGAAAGCUACAGAGUUAUAUUUUCUUGAGACAUUCUCGUCAAGUAUCAUCAAGUAUUUUAUUUUGAGCAUUGCUAUGAGUACUUUGUGAAUUGAAAGUUUGUAUUGUCCUCUUUAGAGAUACUUAAUUUUCUGAGUGAGUCACCGAUACUACUGCCGAUUAUUUAUUUUGCCAUAGUAUUGAGUGGGUUGAGGACUCUGUGGUGAAAUGGACAUCUAAGACAUACAAUCUCUGAAAAUGAAUUGCUGGAAGCACCCUCUGUACAUGUAAGGACCACCAAUUGUGAGUAAAGCACAGAGUAAAUUGUGUAGUGUUAACACAGUGUCAAGAUAAUUGAAAAAGACAGUGAAUUCUUGUGAGUACAGAAAAUCCGCUUUGUGUUAAUCAUCCGUGAAAGCUACAGAGUUAUAUUUUCUUGAGACAUUCUCGUCAAGUAUCAUCAAGUAUUUUAUUUUGAGCAUUGCUAUGAGUACUUUGUGAAUUGAAAGUUUGUAUUGUCCUCUUUAGAGAUACUUAAUUUUCUGAGUGAGUCACCGAUACUACUGCCGAUUAUUUAUUUUGCCAUAGUAUUGAGUGGGUUGAGGACUCUGUGGUGAAAUGGACAUCUAAGACAUACAAUCUCUGAAAAUGAAUUGCUGGAAGCACCCUCUGUACAUGUAAGGACCACCAAUUGUGAGUAAAGCACAGAGUAAAUUGUGUAGUGUUAACACAGUGUCAAGAUAAUUGAAAAAGACAGUGAAUUCUUGUGAGUACAGAAAAUCCGCUUUGUGUUAAUCAUCCGUGAAAGCUACAGAGUUAUAUUUUCUUGAGACAUUCUCGUCAAGUAUCAUCAAGUAUUUUAUUUUGAGCAUUGCUAUGAGUACUUUGUGAAUUGAAAGUUUGUAUUGUCCUCUUUAGAGAUACUUAAUUUUCUGAGUGAGUCACCGAUACUACUGCCGAUUAUUUAUUUUGGUGAGUAUCCAUUUAAGAAGUAUCCGAGGCAUUUAUGUGUCAAUGUUUACCCCCUUUGCUCUGGAAGGGUGUUAAUUGAAUUUAUCUUUGGUGGGGUUGUUUUGUAGAAGAUUUGUUGUGACAUCAGCGCACGAUGAUCACAGUAGUUGUGAAUAAGUUACAACUUAUGUGUGAGUUCCGACAAUAUCUUUGUCAGACAUGUCCGUGAACCCCAACAAUACCUUGAACUUUUCAUUCACCUCGCCCAAGGUCUUGAACCUCUCAUUAAGAGAGGAAAUCACAGUAUCCACUACCACAUUGAAAAUGUAGUCUCCAUCCUCUUGAGUACAUCGCUGACAGGUUCGUCUGCACACUCAUAGCUAAAGUGACAUUUUUUAGUUCUUAGUCUUCUGUUUCAGCACCGUGUCUACGCUCAUCGCUUCACAGAUUUCUUUAGCAAUAGUUAGUGCAUCAGCAAAACCUGUAUUUCUGUAGCUGACAAUAUCAUCUCUGGUCUUUUUGAGCAGAUCUACAGCCACGCCGAGCUGUAUCGUAGUCGACUGCAUUAGUUUGCUCACGUGCUGAAUUUUGCUGAGUAUAUCAUACCACACAACUGAACAAAUGACAAAACGGUAUGACCCUACUUCCUCUGCCAACGAUUAAGCCUCAACUUUGACGACAGGGUCAGUUGCAGAUUCUCUGUGCUCCAAAAGCGCUUCUUUGAGUUGCGGAGGUUGAUAUCUAAUUGCCUCCACACUUUUUACUCGGCUUUCCCAUCUGACGUCUGACCACGAUUUCAGAGUAAUAUUAACAUGUUUUAAAAGAACUUGCCACCUCUGAGGAGAGGCUGAAAACAAUGUGAAUACUUUCGUUAAAUAUCCAAAGUAACAAGUUGCAUUUAGGGAGCUCUUGGCAGCGUCACCUAAUAUAAAAUUCAAAUUAUGGGCACCACAAGGGACAAAUAAGGGCCGAGAAUUCUGUUGAAGAAGCCUGGCUUGAACUCCUUUGAUGUUUCCUCUCAUAUUUGCUUCAUUGUCGUAGGAUUGACCUCGAUAAUCCUCAAAAGAAAUGUUCAUUUGUUUGUCUUCCGAGUAGAAUUCAUGACAAAUUUAGCCCUGUAGACUUCUCUACCUCAAGGAACCCCAAGGUAGUGUGACUGUGAUUGCCUGCAUUACUUUCAACCCUACUUAAAGUUCCACUUCUUGGAGAAAAUUACCAUUGGAUUGACAGUUAAGUUUUUCGGCUGACCCUCUAGAGCCAAAUUGCUUUCAGCUAGAGACUGAAUAAUCGCCAUUAGUCUAGUGAGGACUUGGCGCCACCCGUUCCACUCAGCCAUUAACAUUUCCAUUUCCCGUCUGUCUAUCGUCCUUCCACUUGCAAUGUUGACCUCCAGUUCCUUCUAUGUUGUCAUGUUUUUUUUAGUGUGUUCUAUGUUACUUUCAUGUGUGCUGAGCAAAUGACUAGUUCUCAGUUGGAGUCAAUUUGUUACCAUGGAAUUUAUUGAGAUAACACAAGUUUGGUGUUAAAUUUUUCAUUGUUGUAUUUUUCAACCUGUUUUUAUUUAACGGAGAAUUUUAUUACAUAGCGCCUUACCAUUUCUUACAGUGUAGACUGAUAUGCAUUGUUGGUAAAGAGGUUAUAUGUAUUUGAGAACUAAUUCCGGUGUAUUUUCAGCCAUAGUAUUGAGUGGGUUGAGGACUCUGUGGUGAAAUGGACAUCUAAGACAUACAAUCUCUGAAAAUGAAUUGCUGGAAGCACCCUCUGUACAUGUAAGGACCACCAAUUGUGAGUAAAGCACAGAGUAAAUUGUGUAGUGUUAACACAGUGUCAAGAUAAUUGAAAAAGACAGUGAAUUCUUGUGAGUACAGAAAAUCCGCUUUGUGUUAAUCAUCCGUGAAAGCUACAGAGUUAUAUUUUCUUGAGACAUUCUCGUCAAGUAUCAUCAAGUAUUUUAUUUUGAGCAUUGCUAUGAGUACUUUGUGAAUUGAAAGU